GCCGAGGUGGUGAAAUUGGUAUACACGCAGCCUUGAGGUGGCUGUGCCCUAAAAAGCGUGCAGGUUCGAGUCCUGUCCUCGGCACCU
Molecule: transfer RNA, 87 nt
Filed under: Candidatus Curtissbacteria bacterium RIFCSPHIGHO2_01_FULL_41_11
Lineage: Bacteria; Candidatus Curtissiibacteriota
Description: tRNA-Leu
Rfam family: tRNA
About the family: Transfer RNA (tRNA) molecules are approximately 80 nucleotides in length. Their secondary structure includes four short double-helical elements and three loops (D, anti-codon, and T loops).
Source: RNAcentral